Molecule: ribosomal RNA, 457 nt
Filed under: uncultured bacterium
Lineage: Bacteria
Description: bacterial SSU rRNA
Rfam family: Bacterial small subunit ribosomal RNA
Source: RNAcentral
UACGGAAGGCAGCAGUGGGGAAUAUUGCACAAUGGGCGAAAGCCUGAUGCAGCUAUGCCGCGUGUAUGAAGAAGGCCUUAGGGUUGUAAAGUACUUUCAUCGGGGAGGAAAAAACAAAACUAAUAAUUUUAUUUCUUGACGUUACCCGAAAAAGAAGCACCGGCUAACUCCGUGCCAGCAGCCGCGGUAAUACGGAGGGUGCUAGCGUUAAUCAGAAUUACUGGGCGUAAAGAGCACGUAGGUGGUUUUUUUAAAGUCAGAUGUGAAAUCCCUGGGCUUAACCUAGGAACUGCAUUUUGAAACUGAAAUACUAGAGUAUCGUAGAGGGAGGUAGAAUUCUAGGUGUAGCGGUGAAAUGCGUAGAUAUCUGGAGGAAUACCUGUGGCGAAAGCGGCCUCUUAAACGAAUACUGACACUGAGGUGCGAAAGCGUGGGGAGCAAACAGGGAUUAGAUACC